RNAcentral lists this ribosomal RNA (253 nucleotides) under uncultured bacterium. RNAcentral's name for it is "partial 16S ribosomal RNA". It matches the Rfam family "Bacterial small subunit ribosomal RNA", at positions 80 to 334 of the family's 1533-position model. The record is from RNAcentral.
CUAAAAGAAUGGCGACCGGCGCACGGGUGAGUAACACGUAUCCAACCUGCCGAUAACUCGGGGAUAGCCUUUCGAAAGAAAGAUUAAUAUCCGAUGGUAUAUUUUCUCCGCAUGGUGAGAAUAUUAAAGAAUUUCGGUUAUCGAUGGGGAUGCGUUCCAUUAGUUUGUUGGCGGGGUAACGGCCCACCAAGACCACGAUGGAUAGGGGUUCUGAGAGGAAGGUCCCCCACAUUGGAACUGAGACACGGUCCAA